Molecule: transfer RNA, 72 nt
Filed under: Bos taurus (domestic cattle)
Lineage: Eukaryota; Metazoa; Chordata; Mammalia; Artiodactyla; Bovidae
Also listed under: 2 other names
Rfam family: tRNA
About the family: Transfer RNA (tRNA) molecules are approximately 80 nucleotides in length. Their secondary structure includes four short double-helical elements and three loops (D, anti-codon, and T loops).
Source: Rfam by way of RNAcentral
UCCCUUGUAGCUCAGUUGGUAAAGAAUCUGCCUGCAGUGCAGGAGAUCUGGGUUCAAUUCCUGGGUCGGGAA